Calidris pygmaea (Spoon-billed sandpiper) is the source of this 137-nucleotide non-coding RNA. Lineage: Eukaryota; Metazoa; Chordata; Aves; Charadriiformes; Scolopacidae. The record is from Ensembl.
GUGGCUGUCUUCACCCUGGGCUGCAUUUGCUAGAAAUGGAAUGCAGCCGUGAGCAGCCACGAACAGUAAAGCAAAUGGUUCCUGCCGACAGGGUCUGUAGAGUGAUCAGAUUUUUCUGUGCGAUGGUUCCAUACAUU